Long non-coding RNA from Equus caballus (horse), 3457 nucleotides. The record is from Ensembl. NCBI's taxonomy places the organism in Eukaryota, Metazoa, Chordata, Mammalia, Perissodactyla, Equidae.
CCCACACAGAAGCGGCUCCGCUCCGGCUCCAUCGCCAGUGUGACUGCAUGGCCUCAGGACUUUUGCUUUGGGGCUUUAUGUGAAAAUAGGUUUGUCUCCACUUCAAUGGCUUCCUACAUGCAGGGUGUCUCUCCUAUGGAUGUCUGACCUCUCAGCGUGGCCAUGAUUUGGGUGAGUGACAGGAUGACUGCUGUUGAAAUACACCCUCUCAACUCACACUGUGGCCUGGAAGGGAUCGGAACCCAGUGGGACGAGGGCAGAGUCAGAAACAGCUCCACUAGCUACAUGACACUGCCCUUAUCUCCACAAAUAUUGACUCUGGAGGAUCAAACAAGUGGCCAAAAAACAAUAAUAUUUUCCCCUGGAGAGAAGAUCCUGUUCCAGACAGCCAGGCCCAAGUCGGGCAGACAGGCAGAGGCACGCAGCACACCUGCAGGUGAAGGUCUCUCGGGGGCCCUGCUCCAGCUCAGCGCAUCCCUCUGGAGUCGUUGAUGGUUAUGCCAGGGAAUGAGAAAAGUGGUUCAGGGUGCCAACAGGUGGUCCUGAAGAACACCAGACACCCCAUAUUCCGGAUCGGAGUGUUCAAAAUCAAGGGAUUGCUCCAAGAUGCAACGGCCCCACAGUAAGACCCAGCCCAGGUUUGGCAAACAUGGAGUGAACCCACUCUUUGGACUGGCCAUCCUGCCAGGGGCCUUCACGAGAGAGUCCACUCAAUCCUCACAGACGCCCCCAGGAGCUAGGUGGUCUCGCCCCAUUUUGCAGAUGGGGAAACUGAGGCUCCAAGUAGUGUGGUGACUCACCAGAAAGUCCCCCGUGGAUUACCUGGCAGAGCUGGCAUUGGGACCCCCAGAUAACUGACCAGGAUGAAGAGGCAGGAGUGCCAAGCAGUGACCAGCGCUCAGGGAGAGAAACCACAGAUUCGUCCAACGACCUUGAGCGAGAAGGAGCUUCCUUUCUUCAGGCCGCAGUUCUCCCAUUGAUGGAGAGAGGAACCACCCAGGCUGCCUAAGUAUAGAGUGUCGCCAAACAGAUGUAGUCUUGUUCCUCGAAAGAAAAGCUGCCGCCGGGAGGAGGGGGCAGGCCCAUCUCAUGGACGCAGUGGCCCGGCUCAGAUUUUCACAGAUGCUGCAUCCCUCUUGAAGCCUUCUUAGGGAAGCCAGUUCUGUCCCUCCUGAUCCUGGCACCCGCUCGGCCUCCUUGUGCCACUUGAUCUGCCCUCCUUCUCCAAGAAGUCUCGGGGGCACCCUGUCCAGCUCUGAGUCUCGUCCUAGAUGACCAGGAGGGUCUGCGGGGCCUGGCCAAAUGCUGGAUUGAGAAGCUGGGGCUGUUUGUCCACUUCCUUGAAGGUGGGCUGGCCUGGUGACUGGUGGACCAGGAGGAUGAGGGGGAAGUGAUGAUGUGGAACUUCUGGACGCCAAGGAGCCUUGCGACUUCCACCUGGGCCCUCAGGCCACUCAUUCUUGGGACACUCCCUCUUGAAACCCAGCCAUCAGGCUCUGAGAAGCCCAAGCCAUGUGAAGAAGCCAUAGGUAGGCGCCAUUGUUGACCACCCAUCUCAGCUGCCAGCCAGCUGGCCUCCACUGCUGGCCAGAUGAGGCAACUGAGGCUCAGAGAGGUGAAGUCACUUGCCCCAAAGGACACAGCCGGUGAGUGAGGGGUUGCACGUGAAUCCAGAUGGCCCGGCCGCAAAGCCUUUCUCUCAACUCCUCCACCAGCCUCCAGUGGUCACAUCCUCAUUCUGAAUCUUUUCUGUUGUGUCCUCUCCACUUGGUGACUUUAGAGUUGACCAACUGAAUUCAGGAACUCCUAGAGGGCAGGGCACCCCAAAGCCUGAGCCAGCAUGUGGGAAGAGGCAUUUGGUUGAGAAGUUCUGAAGACAAAGAUGAUGAUGGGGAUCAGGUCAAGUUGUAGGCCUGGCACCCACUCAGGAAGUCCCACAAAGCAGGCAGCCUGGCCCUUAGUUACCCCAGAGCAUACUUUUCACUUUUCAUCUUUUCCACAGUGGAGCUCCUCAGAUUUUCACUGUGGAGUUUCCAACUGAGGAGUCAGCUCAGAAAAGGCAGAGCUCCUCAUGCCUGUUUGUUGUUUCAAGACUCACAAAGGAGGGGGAGGCCCUGGUCUGUAGCAAUUCCUAGGGGUAUGGAUAGAGGGUAGAGGACACUUCCUCUGCUGGAGCAAUAAUCUUAUCUUUUUUGCCUCUUUCCUUCCUCCUGAAGCAACAUCUAAAACUAAAAUAAAAGCCUCCAUAAUAAAAAAGUCUGCAACCCAUGCAUGCAAGAUGAUUUUAGGUGUUACUCAAGAUGUUUAAUCAUGAUACAUGGGCAAGACAUUAAAUAACAUUAUAUGACAUGAUUCUCUUUAAAAAUUCCUCCUAUCCUUGAAAAAGUGCUCAAAUUUGCUAGUCAUCGGGGAACUGCAAAAUAAAACCACAGUGAGAGACAACUAUAUGUCCACCAGAAAAGAUGGAAAAUGCCAAGUAUUGGCAAGGAUGGAGAGCUAGUGGCACUCUCAGAUAUUGCUGAUAGGAUUGCAGACCCAUACAUUUACAUGGCAAGACUUUCUGGCUCUCUCUAUUAAAGCUGACCACAUGUACAGCCCCUGGCCCAGAAAUCCCAGGUCUAGGUAUAGACCCAACAGAGAUGUGUGCUCAUGAUCCACAAACAAUGUGUUCUAGGAGGUUCUCAGCAGCUGUGUUCACAGAAGUCAAAAACUGGAAACUCUUGGGACCGGCCCCGUGGCCGAGUGGUUAAGUUUGCGCGCUCUGUUGCGGUAGCCCAGGGUUUUGCCGGUUCGGAUCCUGGGCAUGGACAUGGCACUGCUUAUCAAGCCAUGCUGAGUUGGCAUCCCACAUGCCACACUAGAAGGACCCACAACUAAGAAUAUACAACUAUGUACCGGGGGGCUUUGGGGAGAAAAAGGAAAAAAGUAAAAUCUUUAAAAAAAACAGAACAAAACUGGAAACUCUCCAGAUGCCCAUCAACAGCAGGAUGGACAGAUAACUUGUGGUGCAGUCAAACUACGGAACAUGACCCAACAAGGAGAAAGAACCAGUAAACUAUAUGCAAGAAUAUGGAAGAAUUUCACAGACAGAAUGUUGAGCAAAAGAAGCCAGAGACAAAAAGGCUGCAUGUUGUAUGUUUUCAUUUAGGGGAAAUGCAAAAACAGGCAAAAGUCAUCCCUGGUAGUAGAUGUCAGGAUCAUGGCUACCCUUGGGGGGCGGAGGUGGUGAUGACUGGCAGGGAGCCUGAAGGGGGCUUCUGACCUUAGUGUUCUUCUUCUUCACCCAGGGACUGGUUAUAUCGGGUAGUCGAUUUGUGAACGUUUAUCAUAUGUGAUAUGUGUUUUAUCACUUAUGAUAUCAUAAAUGGUAAUGAUAAAAUAUAUCAUAAUUUUAUCAUUUAUGACAUGUGUACUUUCUUGUAUGUAUAUUACAUUUCAGUAAAAUGUUGUAAAAAAA